RNAcentral lists this ribosomal RNA (2325 nucleotides) under Triticum aestivum (bread wheat). RNAcentral describes it as "partial small subunit ribosomal RNA". Lineage: Eukaryota; Viridiplantae; Streptophyta; Magnoliopsida; Poales; Poaceae. The record is from RNAcentral.
AUGUAUUCAGUCCAAGCACAUUUGUGGGUGGAUUUUGCUACGAUGCACUUCAUUGGAAAUGCAGCACUGUGGCUUCAGACAUAUGAAGCGAUGCAUAAUGUUGAUUCUUGGGCAGAACUGUGUGUAGCUGUUUUCGCCAAGUUAAACAAGCACAAGUACUCCAGACUCAUUGAUGUUUUCUUUGCCUUGCGUCAAGAUGGCUCAGUGGAUGACUAUGCCCAUGUGUUUGAGGAGCAUAUGCACAAGAUCUUAGUCUACAAUCAGUCCUAUGAUGAGAUAUUCUUUGUCAACCGGUUCAUCGAUGGGUUGAAACCUGAGAUUCGAGCACCAGUGAAGCUGCAACAUCUCGGUACUGUUGAUUUGGCUUAUACUUUUGCCCAAACACAAGAAGCUUUACCGGCGGAAGAUAUUUCUCGGAUGACUAAGAAGUUUGAGCAUCGAAACAAGAACAAAUCGUAUAUUCAUCAGGGGUUGUUGGGGUCUAGUCCUACUGAUCAGAAAGUGGAGGACAAAGCCAAAUGGUCUGAUAAAAUGGAUAAUCUGAGAGCGCAACGGCGUGCUCGUGGUGAGUGCUUUAAGUGUGGGGAGAAGUAUGGACCAGGCCACAAGUGUCCCAAAACAGUGCAGCUCCACGUCAUGGAAGAAUUUAUCUCUGCUCUCCAGUUGUCUGACAGUUCCGAUUCAGAAACUGAGACUGAAGAAGCAAAUGCUACGGCGGGACAGAGUGAGUCAGUCAUGCAGAUAUCAGUUCAAGCAGUGAAUGGUACGUCAUGUAAGGAAAGCAUUAAACUGCAAGGUAUGGUUGGCAAGCUCCAUUUACUGAUUCUGGUGGAUUCUGGCAGUUCCAACACGUUUAUUAGUCAAAAACUGGUUCAGCAAUUACAGUGUCCUCUUGAAGCUAUACCUACUGCUAAGGUAGCUAUUGCAGGAGGGGGAACAUUACAGUGCACACAUCAAGUGUUGAAUUUACAGUGGUGUUGUCAAGGGUACACUUUCACUAGUUCAUUAAAGGUUCUGCCACUGGAAAAUUAUGAUAUCAUAUUGGGUAUGAACUGGUUGGAAGUAAUGAGCCCAAUGUGGGUCGAUUGGAAGUUGAAAGUCAUGGAAUUCCAACAUGAAAAUACAAAAGUUACUCUCAGGGGUUUAAGAGAUAACACUGCUUCUUGUCAGCCUGUCUCUGGAAAGAAAUUAAGAGGGUUGUUAAAUACUUCAGCAGUGGAUCAUGUCAUUCAGCUUUAUCACAUUUCUCCUAGCAGAGAUACUAUUGCCCCAAUACCUGAAGCAGUGCAGCACAUCUUGGAUAAACAUAAGGCUGUCUUUAGUGCACCCACUGAACUUCCUCCUCACAGGUCCUUCGAUCAUCAGAUUCCAUUGCUUCCGGGGGCUACUUCAGUGAAUGUUAAACCCUAUCGUUAUAGCCCAAUGCAGAAAACUGAAAUUGAAAACCAGAUUGUGGCUAUGUUACAGCAGGGGAUUAUGCAGUGCAACUCUAGUUUGUUUGCAUCUCCUGUCUUACUAGUAAAGAAAAAGGAUGGAACUUGGCGGUUUUGUGUGGAUUAUAGGCAUCUAAAUGCUAUUACCCUCAAGCAUAAAUAUCCUAUGCCCAUCGUGGAGGAACUUCUGGAUGAACUGGUAGGAGCAAAAUGGUUUACCAAGCUCGACUUACGGUCUGGAUACCAUCAAAUUAGAAUUGUUCCUGGUGAAGAACAUAAAACAGCAUUUAAAGUACACCAUGGCUUGUAUGAGUUCAGAGUCAUUCCUUUCGGGUUGACCAAUGCACCUGCUUCCUUCCAAGCUGCUAUGAACAAAUUGUUUGCUCAUCUACUCAGGAAGUAUGUGCUUGUCUUUAUGGAUGACAUUCUGAUCUUUAGUGCCACUUUAGAAGAGCACCUCCAACACUUGCAGGAAGUGUUUCGAAUCCUGCAUGAAAAUCAGUUUUAUGUCAAGAUGAGCAAGUGCUCUUUUGCUCAACAGGAAUUGGAGUAUUUGGGCCACAUUAUCAGUGCUGAGGGAGUGAAGACCGAUCCUGCCAAGAUUCAAAGUGUGCAGAAGUGGCCUACUCUUACAAACAUUAAGCAAGUCAGAGGGUUUCUGGGCCUGACUGGAUACCAUAGGAAGUUCAUCAAAGAUUAUGGGGUCAUCAGCAGGAGUUUAACCGAACUGUUAAAAAAGGACAGCAUCUUUUUGUGGACCCCUACAGUGGAGGCUGCAUUCCAGCAAUUAAAAUUAGCUCUGUCUCAAUCUCCUGUCUUGGCGUUGUCGAACUUCAGCAAACCUUCACAAUUGAAACAGAUGCUAGCAACUGUGGAGUGGGAGCAGUUCUAA